AUUUAAUUAGUAUAAAAAAGUACAUUUAAUUUCCAAUUAAAUAGUUUCUUAAGAAAUUAAAUA
RNAcentral lists this transfer RNA (63 nucleotides) under Rhipicephalus haemaphysaloides. Its description in RNAcentral is "tRNA-Gly". Lineage: Eukaryota; Metazoa; Arthropoda; Arachnida; Ixodida; Ixodidae. The record is from RNAcentral.